Molecule: long non-coding RNA, 895 nt
Organism: Pongo pygmaeus (Bornean orangutan)
Lineage: Eukaryota; Metazoa; Chordata; Mammalia; Primates; Hominidae
Exons: 3
Source: RefSeq, a predicted model, not a curated record
GUCCGCCCGCUGGCUCGGUGCGCGCUCGUCUGGGCGUCGUCGCGGCUGCCUGUUCGGCUCGGGAGCUGCAGCCCGGAGGCGCUGGCUGCGGGAGUCCGCGGGCGCCGUCGCAGGGGCACGAACCCGACGAAUCCGAGGAGGAGGCCGGGGACGUGGAGUCCGAGUGGCCGGCCCAGCCCCAGCCCUGGGCGAAGAUCCAGUGGUCGUGGCCGAGAAGGCUCUGCGGAGGAGGCGACUGGGCCAUGGCCGGGCUGCAGGCUCUGGGAGGCUGGGCUGGCCACCUCCAGGCCUGAGCUUUUAUGUUGACCAAAGACUUGCUCUAUCGUCCAGGCUGGAGUGUAGUGGCACCAUCUCAGCUCACUGCAACCUCUGCCUCCUGAGUUCAAGUGAUUCUUCUGCCUCAGCCUCUCAAGUAGCUGGGACUACAGAUGGAGUCUCACUCUAUUGCCCAGGCUGGACUACAAUGGCAUGAUCUCGGCUUACUGCAACCUUCACCUCUUGGGUUCAAGCAAUUCUCCUGCCUCAGCCUCCCAAGUAGCUGGGAUUACAGGCAUGCACCACCACACCUGGCUAAUUUUUGUAUUUUUAGUAGAGACAGAGUUUCACCAUGUUGGCCAGGCUGGUCUCAAACUCCUGACCUCAAGUGAUCCACCUCGGAUCCUCGGCCUCCCAAAGUGCUGGGAUUACAGGCGUGAGCCACCAUGCCCAGCCUUUUUAAUUUUAAAUAAUAAAAAAAAAAUAAGAAGAAAGAAACCUAAACGACUCGGUAUUCCCAGGCUGUCUCCCAUCCUAGUACUUAGCUUCUGAGAUAAGACAAGAUUGGGCGUGUUCAGGGUGGUAUGGCUGUAGACCAGAACUUAUUUUUAAAUUGCACAUGUAAUACAUGAAUGGAGUC